AGGUGGAAGCGAUGGCGAUGGUGCAGCCGGUGGGAGUCGGUAGGUGCUCGAGGCCGCCAUGCAAGGCGAGCUUCCUUCGUACGCCUUCGCCAACGAACACACACGCACAAGAAGACACACCAGGGUAUACGGAGAGACGUUGUAUCUCUCUUUCUCACGGAGUUCCUAUCAUAAGUUUCUCUUUAUCACAGUUACAUGGUCCAUCUUUGUCUUCCCUUCUUUCUCUUUCUCCCACUCCCCCGACCUCUAUCUUCUCUCUCUCUCUCUCUCUCUCGGUUGUUUCUUACUUCUGCACGCUGUAUUUUUCUUCUUUCCGUCUGUUUUCUCUCCUUCUCUUCCCAUAUGCGUCCACCGUCCUUCCUUCUUCGCAAACACAUAUGUGUUAGUAACUACGAAGCCUAUCUUACGUACUCCAGGUCCACGCACACUCGCAAACCUAAGUACGUACCUAUCUACGUCCGCGGAUCGAAUUACACCACCGCUAGCCCCUAUGUGGCAACUCUCUUACUUAACCUACCGUCGGGAACAGUAUCGACACAUUUUUCUUUCUCGGGGUGUGCCACAAACGGGGCACCCGCCUUCUUAGCGAAAGUCCACCAAAGAUAACAUCACGGAGCUCGUGAAUGAAAGAAGGCUGACCUAUGAUAAGAAAUAUCGUUGAUCGGUUUACUGUCAUCGUCAGAGACUAAUAAUAACGCAACGUAUACGAUUCUAUCCCUAAGUCGAUGUCGACCAAAAGUGGGAAAAGCCGAAGAACGCGAAGACACCGAACGGAUGGUAGACGGGCGGGGCAAUGGCAAUGGUGGCAAACUCGCGGAGGCACGAAGGAAGAUGAGGUCGGAGGUAAUCUGACACCUGGCCGCAUCGAAGGUUGGUGCCGUGAGAAAAUAAGUACUCUCGUCGCACCGAGAGUAGAAGAAUGAAAAAGGAAAAAGAAAAGAAUAAAGAAAUAAAAAAAUGAAAAUAAAAGCAAAAAAGAACGAAGAACGCACUGAUGAACAAGGAGGACAACUAGACAUCGAUCGAGAGAAAACGUCGUUAGUUCUUUGACUAUCGAUAUAGAAAAAGUGGUAAGAAGAAGAUACUGGAGAGUUUGUCUCUCGAAAUUGCACGUUCGAGCGCAACGAGUGCGACGGUGGUCAUGGUACUCUGCACAGUACCAUUCCUUCGUGGUAACUGGAGAACGCGAAGUGAGUAUCGGUUACGAGGAAAACUUCCGUGCACGCAUUAACGACGCCAUACGUCCUCGCCAUCCGACGUACGAGGGUCGCGGCGCGAACAGGUACACGACAGGUUCGAGGAAAGAUCUGGGUCAACCUAUUUCAACCCUUUUUAUCAUCUUUCUUCCACGAGAUAACAAAAAAGAAAGAGAAAAAGAGAGAGAAAGAGAAACAGAGAGAUGAAAGAAAGAUGAGAUAAAUAGACCAACAUUUCUCUCUCUGACUCUAACUUUAAUGUUGCAUCUUAAUGUAACAUUGUGUUUUACCUAUGUCUUGAAUUCUUUGAUACAAGUUUUACUAAACUUUUACGAGCUGAGACCCACUUUCGAAAACAAUCCUUUUAGCAACUUGCUUCUAACGAACA
Long non-coding RNA from Vespula pensylvanica (western yellowjacket), 1584 nucleotides. RefSeq lists it as uncharacterized. Lineage: Eukaryota; Metazoa; Arthropoda; Insecta; Hymenoptera; Vespidae. The transcript is spliced from 3 exons. The record is from RefSeq and is a predicted model, not a curated record.